GGCUAGUGGCUGCCUCCAGGGAGGGAGUUGGUGGUUAAAGACAGGGGAAGAGAAGGGCUCCUCUCCUCCACUGUUGGGUGUGGUGAUCUGCAGCUUCUGGGGAGUUUUUGCAUUAUGGCUUGUGAUCUCCAAGUAGACCCUGUGACAUGAGCUGAAUAGAGAGGUUCCACAGCUGAGGACAUUUGCAUUUACAAGAAGGGACAUGCCAGAGAUAGCAGACCUGGGACAGUAAUGCAGCUGCUUCCUGAGGACAGAGACCACCAAUUCCUGAGACCUCUAGUCACACCCUGGACCACUGAACCACUGGCUACCCCCAAGCUCUUCCUCAAACUUAAUGACCAAGCAUUUCUGCAUGGAGAAGAGCUGACACCUUAGAAGAGGUGGCUGAACACAAGGGCUCAGGUCCUUGAUCAGCUCUGUCUCUAUUAUGGUUCAGUCCCUGACCCCAAAUGAGAUGCACUUUACAUCAAAGAAGCUCCUCUGGAGGACAAGAUGAGAUUCGGCUGUGAGGCCACACUUAAGCAAGUUCCCAGUGCCAGCUACCUUGUGGUGGACCUUCCUGGUGUUGAGGACAGCAUUCUUCAGACCAGCAUCCACCUGGCUCUCCAACUGAAUCAGAACACAGGACAUUCCAAACCAACUGUCACUGCCAAGAGUCAUCCUUUCAACUGACAAGGCUGGGCAAGCAGUUCCUGGUGACUCCUCUUAUAGAAGCCAGGACCAUGGCGUGAGGUAGAGGCUGCAGUCCGCCUCCCAGCUGGGGAGUCCCUGAGUGGGCAGAGUGGGCACCUCCUGCCAGUGGCAGCUCCACAGCCCAGAGCACAAGGGCAGUCCAGGCCCAGCCAGCCGUCAGAGCAGGACCAGGCCACCCCUCCUGCAACACAGCACACCUGGCACUUCACCAGCUUCUUCAUCCAUCAGCUCCUGUCUUUCCUUAACCACUCAAAGUAACGAUGAAGGGGAAAAUUCUGUUUAUCGUCAGCUCCUUAUAAAUCAUCAGCAAACAAAUCAUGUUAGAAACAAAGGGCAAAAGUCAAA
Long non-coding RNA from Ictidomys tridecemlineatus (thirteen-lined ground squirrel), 1038 nucleotides. RefSeq lists it as uncharacterized. NCBI's taxonomy places the organism in Eukaryota, Metazoa, Chordata, Mammalia, Rodentia, Sciuridae. The record is from RefSeq and is a predicted model, not a curated record.